GAGGAACAUUCGGGCGUUUUUAGCUGCAGCUUCGUCGUCCUCGCGUCUUUUCUCGCCUCUCUCUGGCUGUCUCGCCUCUUCCCGCACGCCGCCUCCUUCGCCACCCCUGCGCUGCCCGCGCCGCCGCCGGCGCGCUGCUCUGGCCCCUCCUCUCCCGAAUCCCGCCGCCGUCCUCUCCUCUUCCGAAUCGCGUCGCCGGCCAAGCUCCACUCUAGAAUCGCGUCGCUGGCCGAGAUCCUCUUCGAAUUCUGCCGCCGGCCGAGCUCCUCUUCAAAACCAGCCGCCGGCCGAGCUCCUCUGCAAAUCCCGCCGCCGGCAGCCAUCUUCUGCUCCUCCUCAUCCUCCAAGCUCCGCCCCACCUCGGCAGAGGAGCCUCGGCACCGCUCGCUCGCCUCGCCUCUCCGAUCUGCUCGCCGGCUGCCGCCGCCCGCAUGCAGCGGAUCGGUGCAGCAGAUCCAAACAGGCGGAUGCAGAGCAGACUCGCAGCCCCCGUGCAUAUCCUGGCUGCGAUGCAGUCGCUGGGUCUCAGGGAAACCAAACACGCCCCAAGCGAACGGUUUAGAUGAAGCCACGCACCCUCACGCGAACGAUCUGGAACCGCCCAAAAGAACUCCAUUCUUGCUGUCCAGCUCAUUCUCCUCUAGCCUCUAGGGCUCCCCUCGUUUCCCCCAUCCCUAGCCGCUACCGCGUCCGCGCGAGCAAAUCGCCCGCUCGAGAGGCCUCUCGUCGCCGUUCAGUUGGGGGCGUUGCUGCGUGGAUUGUCAAAGUUCUUGUUGCCGCGAGGGGGACAGGAAGGUGGCGGCGGCGGCGGCGGCCGGUGGACAACAUGAGCUUUGUGUUCCGGGGGAGCAGAGCUGACAUCGAGGCCGGUGGUUUCCCGGGGUUCGCCCCAGAGCGCCGUGGGAUGCGAAUCCAUGCUGGUGGCCGGACGGUGAACAGCAAUUCCUUAGGGUUUCUUGUAACUGUUCUGGUUCUCAUUAUGGUACUGAGCUCGAACCAGAUGUCUCCGAACUUUUUGCUUUGGCUGGUGUUGGGUGUGUUCCUAAUGGCGACCAGCCUUAGGAUGUACGCCACGUGCCAGCAGCUCCAAGCACAGGCACAAGCUCAUGCUGCAGCCGCUAACAGCUUACUUGGACGCACUGAGUUGCGGGUGCAUGUCCCGCCAACCAUAGCCCUUGGCGCGAGAGGCCCGUUGCAAAGCCUUAGGCUCCAACUUGCUCUGCUUGACCGUGAGUUUGAUGAUUUAGAUUAUGAUGCUCUUAGAGCAUUGGAUGCCGACAUUAGCCCACAUGCUCCAUCUAUGAGUGAAGAAGAAAUAAACACUCUUCCUGUUUUCAAAUACAAAUUUCAGGCGCAGCAGGGAAGCGCCUCUGCCCGAAAAAGUGGUGAUGGACCAUCUGUAUUGUUGCCUUCCUCUUCUGGAUCUAGUAAUGAGAAAAGCCAAGAUGCAUAUGGAGCCAGUAAAACCCCAGAGGAUGAGUUGACGUGCAGCGUUUGCUUGGAACAAGUCGUCGUGGGUGAUCUAUUGAGAAGUCUUCCAUGCUUGCAUCAGGGAUUACACAAGGGGGGGACACUCCGCGUCAGAGUAAUCAGAAACAACGUGUGAGGUGAAACUAAGGAGUAAUACCAAUAGGUGUGAACUUCGUACGAACCAUCGUGACCACUUUAUUGCGGUCCGCAGAUUCUUGCAAGUAUGAGCAUAGCUUGUCUUAAAGGAAGUUUCAUGUAGAAUGCAUCGACCCAUGGCUGCGCCAACAAGGAACAUGCCCGGUCUGCAAGCACCAGGUGAGCGAUUCUUGGCGUAGUGGUGGCAAUGGUGAAAUAGUGGACGGUUCUUACAUGGUGUAACAUGAGCUCCAAAUCUUAGCCUACUAUAUCUGCUAAUAAAGAGCCCAUGGAGUCGGGGAGUAGUUGUUUUAGUCCCUGCCGAGAGUUUCUGUACAUGAGAUACUCCAUUCUCUGUGAUGUUUUAUGCAUCCAAAGGCUGCUGAUGCUUUUCUGGUUUGUUUUCACCAUGGCGGUUGAGCGGAUCGUUAGGCUGGCUGCCUAUAUCUGUGGUCAGAGGAUACUUGGCCAAGCUCCGUAAGAAUCUAGAUGGACGAUGCAUCACUAAUCUGCUCCAACGUUAAUGAUGCGAUGAUUGGCAUUUGC
Brachypodium distachyon (stiff brome) is the source of this 2151-nucleotide RNA transcript. It is a transcript of the gene named E3 ubiquitin-protein ligase SDIR1, with no coding region annotated. NCBI's taxonomy places the organism in Eukaryota, Viridiplantae, Streptophyta, Magnoliopsida, Poales, Poaceae. The record is from RefSeq and is a predicted model, not a curated record. The transcript has 10 exons.